Molecule: ribosomal RNA, 274 nt
Filed under: Calilena californica
Lineage: Eukaryota; Metazoa; Arthropoda; Arachnida; Araneae; Agelenidae
Description: partial 28S large subunit ribosomal RNA
Rfam family: Eukaryotic large subunit ribosomal RNA
Source: RNAcentral
GCGCGAGUCAAUGGGUNUUGAAUAGGCCCAUGGGCGCAAUGAAAGCAAAGGGCGGCCUCANCGCCGUCCGAAUUGGGAUCCCCCUCUCGGGGGGGGCGGCACCAACGACCCGUCCUAUUCGGCUCGCCGAUUGGGCGGAGUUUGAGCGUACACGUUGGGACCCGAAAGAUGGUGAACUAUGCCCGGACAGGACGAGGCCAGAGGAAACUUUGGUGGAGGUCCGCAGCGGUUUUGACGUGCAAAUCGAUCGUCAGAUCUGGGUCUAGGUGCGAAA